CAAAGUAUAGCUUAACCUAAAGCAUCUGGCUUAAACCCAGAAGAUUUCAUCAUGACUCGAUCACUUUGA
This 69-nucleotide transfer RNA is filed under the name Callithrix jacchus (white-tufted-ear marmoset). It matches the Rfam family "tRNA". From Rfam's summary of the family: Transfer RNA (tRNA) molecules are approximately 80 nucleotides in length. The record is from Rfam by way of RNAcentral. Lineage: Eukaryota; Metazoa; Chordata; Mammalia; Primates; Cebidae. RNAcentral also lists the same sequence under 1 other name.